CAGGUGAGUUUGAUCAGGGUUGGAGUUGACCUGAUCUCCUUGGGUUUUUAAAACCCCAUUUUACAGCGGUUUAUGUUGCAGUGACACGGCUAUUUGUUUUAGGGAAGCGGUCAAGCUCAUGGAAGCAGUUAUGGACGUGGAAGCGGUCAAGCUCCGGGACGUGAUCCGGGAAGCGGUCAAGCUCAGGGAAGCAGUUAUGGAAGCGGAAGCAGUUAUGGAAGCGGAAGCGGAAGCAGUGGUGGACGCUGGAGCGGAAGCAGUUACGGAAGCGGAAGCGGAAGCAGUUAUGGAAGUGGAGGUGGAAGCGGUCAAGCUCAGGGAAGCAGUUCUGGAAGCGGAGGCGGAAGCAGUUAUGGAAGCGGAAGUAGUUAUGGAAGCGGUCAAGCUCAGGGAAGUGGAAGCGGUCAAGCUCAAGGAAGCAGUUAUGGAAGUGGAGGCGGUCAAGCUCAAGGAAGCAGUUCUGGAAGUGGAGGCGGUCAAGCUCAGGGAAGCAGUUCUGGAAGUGGAGGCGGAGGCAGUUCUGGAAGCGGAAGCAGUUAUGGAAGUGGAGGCGGUCAAGCUCAGGGAAGCAGUUCUGGAAGCGGAGGCGGAAGUGGUCAAGCUCAGGGAAGCGGAAGCAGUUAUGGAAGCGGAAGCAGUUAUGGAAGCGGAGGCGGAAGCGGUCAAGCUCAUGGAAGCAGUUAUGGAAGUGGAAGCGGAAGCAGUUAUGGAAGUGGAAGCGGUCAAGCUCAGGGAAGCGGAAGCGGUCAAGCUCAGGGAAGCAGUUAUGAAAGUGGAAGCGGAAGCAGUUAUGGAAGCGGAGGCGGAAGCGGUCAUGAUCAGGGAAGCAGUUAUGGAAGUGCAAGUAGCUAUGGAAGUGGAAGUGAUCAGGGAAGAGGUCAAGCUCAGGGAAGCGAUCAGGGAAGUGGUUAUGGAAGUGGAAGCGGUCAAGCUCAGGGAAGCGAUCAGGGACGUGGAAGUGAUCAGAGAAGAGGACGUGGUCAUGGAAGCGGUCAAGCUCAGGGAAGCGAUCAGGGACGUGGAAGUGAUCAGAGAAGAGGACGUGGUCAUGGAAGCGGUCAAGCUCAGGGAAGCGAUCAGGGACGUGGAAGUGAUCAGAGAAGAGGACGUGGUCAUGGAAGCGGUCAAGCUCAGGGAAGCGAUCAGGGACGUGGAAGUGAUCAGAGAAGAGGACGUGGUCAUGGAAGCGGUCAAGCUCAGGGAAGCGAUCAGGGACGUGGAAGUGAUCAGAGAAGAGGACGUGGUCAUGGAAGCGGUCAAGCUCAGGGAAGCGAUCAGGGACGUGGAAGUGAUCAGAGAAGAGGACGUGGUCAUGGAAGCGGUCAAGCUCAGGGAAGCGAUCAGGGACGUGGAAGUGAUCAGAGAAGAGGUCAAGAUCAGGGAAGUGGUUAUGGAAGUGAAAGUGGUCAAGCUCCGUGAAGCGAUCAGGGAAAUUGUAAUGGAUGUGGUCAUUUGAAAUGGGCAUUUUGCAUAAUCUUUACUUGAUCUUUUCAAUUCAGAGCUUUAUUCAAUUUCUUGAUUAAAGAUUUGGUGUUAUCAUUUGUCUGCUUUCUGGCAUCAGUGCUUUGUGCAAGUUUCUCUCCAUAUUAUAUAAUAUUAGUCCAUUUUUACACAAAAUAUAAAACGUUAUGUCUUGGGGACCAUAAAACCCUUUUUUUUUUUUCUUUUUUUUUUUUUUUUUUUUUUUUCUUUUUUUUUUUGCUGCAGCUGUUACGCCUUCUGCAAAUUCUUUGCAUUUCUGUAUUCUC
Long non-coding RNA from Sinocyclocheilus grahami, 1748 nucleotides. Lineage: Eukaryota; Metazoa; Chordata; Actinopteri; Cypriniformes; Cyprinidae. The record is from Ensembl.